Molecule: long non-coding RNA, 661 nt
Filed under: Salmo salar (Atlantic salmon)
Lineage: Eukaryota; Metazoa; Chordata; Actinopteri; Salmoniformes; Salmonidae
Description: lncRNA (ENSSSAG00000087636.1)
Source: RNAcentral
UAUCCUCGAUGCCAUAGAAGGCUGUCCCUAUGUCCUCAAUGCCAUAGAAGGCUGUUCCCUAUGUCCUCAAUGCCAUAGAAGGCUGUUCCCUAUGUCCUCAAUGCCAUAGAAGGAUGUUCCUACGUCCUCGAUGCCAUAGAAGGCUGUUCCCUAUGUCCUUGCAUUGCCAUAGAAGGCUGUUCCCUACGUCCUCGAUGCCAUAGAAGGCUGUUCCCUAUGUCCUCGCAUUGCCAUAGAAGGCUGUUCCCUAUGUCCUCAUUACCAUAGAAGGCUGUUCCCUAUGUCCUCGAUGCCAUAGAAGGCUGUUCCCUACGUCCUCGAUGCCAUAGAAGGCUGUCCCCUAUGUCCUCGAUGCCAUAGAAGGCUGUUCCCUAUGUCCUCAAUGCCAUAGAAGGAUGUUCCUACGUCCUCGAUGCCAUAGAAGGCUGUUCCCUAUGUCCUUGCAUUGCCAUAGAAGGCUGUUCCCUACGUCCUAGAUGCCAUAGAAGGCUGUUCCCUAUGUCCUCGCAUUGCCAUAGAAGGCUGUUCCCUAUGUCCUUAAUGCCAUAGAAGGAUGUUCCCAAUGUCCUCAAUGCCAUAGAAGGAUGUUCCCUAUGUCCUCGAUGCCAUAGAAGGAUGUUCCUAUGUCCCCAAUGCCAUAGAAGGCUGUACCCUAUGUCCU